AAAAUAGUUCUCAGAUUUCAUAAAAAUUUUACCUAAAAUUUGAAUGAUAAUCAACUCUAAAAAUAUGGGGAAAAUUUUUCCUUGCUUUAAUGACGUGGGUGAAGGACUUCCUAAGUGGUCUUAAUGGGGGCCUUGGCAUUUAAUUCUUGCUGCUGUUAAAAAAGACAUUUUCAACAGUCUGUACAAAGUCUGUAGAUUUUCAGAAAACUCAAAUUGAUUUAAGUGGUAUUUGUCUCUUUGAAAUGUCUACUUCUCCUGUGCCUAGCUGUUUUUCCUCUGUUCUUGAUUUCCCUUUUUGUUUUUGGCCAAGAAAUCUCUUUUUUCUAUGUGUUUUCCACUUCCUGUUGCUGUGCUAAGAUUUGCUUCUUACCAAAAAUGAAUGAACUGUUACAAUUAUUUGUUUCUGUUUGGCCACAUUAGUUGAAUAAGAAAAGCAGGGGGCUAUCUGGUCAAGAAU
RNAcentral lists this unclassified non-coding RNA (457 nucleotides) under Hevea brasiliensis (rubber tree). The record is from RNAcentral. Lineage: Eukaryota; Viridiplantae; Streptophyta; Magnoliopsida; Malpighiales; Euphorbiaceae.